RNAcentral lists this ribosomal RNA (460 nucleotides) under uncultured bacterium. RNAcentral's name for it is "partial 16S ribosomal RNA". It matches the Rfam family "Bacterial small subunit ribosomal RNA", at positions 338 to 795 of the family's 1533-position model. The record is from RNAcentral.
CCUACGGGAGGCAGCAGUGAGGAAUAUUGGUCAAUGGGCGCGAGCCUGAACCAGCCAAGUAGCGUGAAGGAUGACUGCCCUACGGGUUGUAAACUUCUUUUAUAAAGGCAUAAAAUGAGGCACGUGUGCCUUUUUGCAUGUACUUUAUUAAUCAGGAUCGGCUAACUCCGUGCCAGCAGCCGCGGUAAUACGGAGGAUCCGGGCGUUAUCCGGUUUUAUUGGGUUUAAAGGGAGCGGAGACGGGUUGUUAAGGUAGUUGUGAACGUUUGCGGCUCAACCGUAAAAUUGCAGUUGAUACUGGGAGUCUUGAGUACAGUCAAGGUAGGCGGAAUUCGUGGUGUAGCGGUGAAAUGCUUAGAUAUCACGAAGAACCCCGAUUGCGAAGGCAGCUUACUAAACUGUGACUGACAUUGAUGCUCGAAAGUGCGGGUAUCAAACAGGAUUAGAUACCCGUGUAGUC